This 439-nucleotide ribosomal RNA is filed under the name uncultured bacterium. RNAcentral's name for it is "partial 16S ribosomal RNA". It matches the Rfam family "Bacterial small subunit ribosomal RNA", at positions 338 to 795 of the family's 1533-position model. The record is from RNAcentral.
CCUACGGGUGGCAGCAGUGGGGAAUAUUGCACAAUGGGGGAAACCCUGAUGCAGCGACGCCGCGUGAGUGAAGAAGUAUUUCGGUACGUAAAGCUCUAUCAGCAGGGAAGAAAAUGACGAUACCUGACUAAGAAGCCCCGGCUAACUACGUGCCAGCAGCCGCGGUAAUACGUAGGGGGCAAGCGUGAUCCGGAUUUACUGGUUGUAACGGGGCUCAGACUGCAAUGCAAGCCAGAAGUGAAAGCCCGGGGCGCAACCCCGGGACUGCACUUGGAACUGCAUGGCUGGAGUAUAGUAGGGGCAGGCGGAAUUCCAGGUGUAGCGGUGAAAUGCGUAGAGAUUAGGAGGAACACCGGUGGCGAAGGCGGCCUGCUGGACUGUGACUGACGCUGAGGCCCGAAGGCGUGGGGAGCAAACAGGAUUAGAUACCCUGGUAGUC